GAUGAACGCUGGCGGCGUGCCUAAUACAUGCAAGUCGAGCGAACAGACGAGGAGCUUGCUCCUUUGACGUUAGCGGCGGACGGGUGAGUAACACGUAGGUAACCUACCUAUAAGACUGGGAUAACUCCGGGAAACCGGAGCUAAUACCGGAUAAUAUUUCGAACCGCAUGGUUCGAUAGUGAAAGAUGGCUUUGCUAUCACUUAUAGAUGGACCUGCGCCGUAUUAGCUAGUUGGUAAGGUAACGGCUUACCAAGGCAACGAUACGUAGCCGACCUGAGAGGGUGAUCGGCCACACUGGAACUGAGACACGGUCCAGACUCCUACGGGAGGCAGCAGUAGGGAAUCUUCCGCAAUGGGCGAAAGCCUGACGGAGCAACGCCGCGUGAGUGAUGAAGGUCUUCGGAUCGUAAAACUCUGUUAUUAGGGAAGAACAAACGUGUAAGUAACUGUGCACGUCUUGACGGUACCUAAUCAGAAAGCCACGGCUAACUACGUG
RNAcentral lists this ribosomal RNA (497 nucleotides) under uncultured bacterium. Its description in RNAcentral is "partial 16S ribosomal RNA". It matches the Rfam family "Bacterial small subunit ribosomal RNA", at positions 28 to 507 of the family's 1533-position model. The record is from RNAcentral.